GCUGGCGGCGUGCCUAAUACAUGCAAGUCGAGCGAACGGAUAAGGAGCUUGCUCCUUUGAAGUUAGCGGCGGACGGGUGAGUAACACGUGGGUAACCUACCUAUAAGACUGGGAUAACUUCGGGAAACCGGAGCUAAUACCGGAUAACAUUUAGAACCGCAUGGUUCUAAAGUGAAAGAUGGUUUUGCUAUCACUUAUAGAUGGACCCGCGCCGUAUUAGCUAGUUGGUAAGGUAACGGCUUACCAAGGCGACGAUACGUAGCCGACCUGAGAGGGUGAUCGGCCACACUGGAACUGAGACACGGUCCAGACUCCUACGGGAGGCAGCAGUAGGGAAUCUUCCGCAAUGGGCGAAAGCCUGACGGAGCAACGCCGCGUGAGUGAUGAAGGGUUUCGGCUCGUAAAACUCUGUUAUUAGGGAAGAACAAAU
Molecule: ribosomal RNA, 430 nt
Filed under: Staphylococcus xylosus
Lineage: Bacteria; Bacillati; Bacillota; Bacilli; Caryophanales; Staphylococcaceae
Description: bacterial SSU rRNA
Rfam family: Bacterial small subunit ribosomal RNA
Source: RNAcentral